CGUCAAUGGGCGCAAGCCUGAACGAGCGAUGCCGCGUGAGCGAUGAAGGCCUUCGGGUUGUAAAGCUCAAAAGGGGUGAGAAAGGGCAACUUGAUCGAACCCCAGUAAGCUCGGGCUAAGUUCGUGCCAGCAGCCGCGGUAAGACGAACCGAGCGAACGUUGUUCGGAAUCACUGGGCUUAAAGGGCGCGUAGGCGGGUGCUCAAGUCCGGGGUGAAAUCCCACAGCUCAACUGUGGAACUGCCUCGGAUACUGGGUGUCUCGAGGGUGGUAGGGGUAUGCGGAACUAUCGGUGGAGCGGUGAAAUGCGUUGAUAUCGAUAGGAACUCCGGUGGCGAAGGCGGCAUACUGGACCACUUCUGACGCUGAGGCGCGAAAGCCAGGGGAGCAAACGGGAUUAGAUACCCCGGUAGUCCUGGCCCUAAACGAUGGGAACUAGCUAGUAGGCUUCACAUGGGUUUACUGGCGAAGCAAAAGUGCUAAGUUCCCCGCCUGGGGAGUAUGGUCGCAAGGCUG
RNAcentral lists this ribosomal RNA (515 nucleotides) under uncultured Planctomycetota bacterium. RNAcentral describes it as "bacterial SSU rRNA". It matches the Rfam family "Bacterial small subunit ribosomal RNA", at positions 366 to 896 of the family's 1533-position model. The record is from RNAcentral. Lineage: Bacteria; Pseudomonadati; Planctomycetota.